UACGUAGGUGGCAAGCGUUAUCCGGAAUUACUGGGCGUAAAGCGUGCGCAGGCGGUUCGCUGUGUCCGAUGUGAAAGCCCCGGGCUUAACCUGGGAAUGGCAUUGGAAACUGGCGGGCUUGAGUGCGGCAGAGGGGGGUGGAAUUCCGCGUGUAGCAGUGAAAUGCGUAGAGAUGCGGAGGAACACCGAUGGCGAAGGCAGCCCCCUGGGUCGACACUGACGCUCAGGCACGAAAGCGUGGGGAGCAAACAGG
RNAcentral lists this ribosomal RNA (253 nucleotides) under uncultured bacterium. RNAcentral describes it as "partial 16S ribosomal RNA". It matches the Rfam family "Bacterial small subunit ribosomal RNA", at positions 524 to 776 of the family's 1533-position model. The record is from RNAcentral.